CAGUCGAACGGACUCAUAUUGAAACCUAGUGAUUUAUGAGUUAGUGGCGGACGGGUGAGUAACGCGUGGAUAACCUGCCGUAUACCGGGGGAUAACACUUGGAAAUAGGUGCUAAUACCGCAUAAGCGCACGGCUCCGCAUGGGGCAGUGUGAAAAACUCCGGUGGUAUACGAUGGAUCCGCGUCUGAUUAGCUAGUUGGCGGGGUAACGGCCCACCAAGGCAGCGAUCAGUAGCCGGCCUGAGAGGGUGGACGGCCACAUUGGGACUGAGACACGGCCCAAACUCCUACGGGAGGCAGCAGUGGGGAAUAUUGCACAAUGGGGGAAACCCUGAUGCAGCGACGCCGCGUGAGUGAAGAAGUAUCUCGGUACGUAAAGCUCUAUCAGCAGGGAAGAAAAUGACGGUACCUGACUAAGAAGCCCCGGCUAACUACGUGCCAGCAGCCGCGGUAAUACGUAGGGGGCAAGCGUUAUCCGGAUUUACUGGGUGUAAAGGGAGCGUAGACGGCAGCACAAGUCUGGAGUGAAAUCCCGGGGCUUAACCCCGGAACUGCUUUGGAAACUGUGCGGCUGGAGUGCAGGAGGGGUAAGCGGAAUUCCUAGUGUAGCGGUGAAAUGCGUAGAUAUUAGGAGGAACACCGGUGGCGAAGGCGGCUUACUGGACUGUAACUGACGUUGAGGCUCGAAAGCGUGGGGAGCAAACAGGAUUAGAUACCCUGGUAGUCCACGCCGUAAACGAUGAUUACUAGGUGUCGGGGGAUCAAGGUCCUCCGGUGCCGGCGCAAACGCAUUAAGUAAUCCACCUGGGGAGUACG
This 815-nucleotide ribosomal RNA is filed under the name uncultured bacterium. Its description in RNAcentral is "bacterial SSU rRNA". It matches the Rfam family "Bacterial small subunit ribosomal RNA", at positions 59 to 884 of the family's 1533-position model. The record is from RNAcentral.